Molecule: long non-coding RNA, 415 nt
Filed under: Hordeum vulgare
Lineage: Eukaryota; Viridiplantae; Streptophyta; Magnoliopsida; Poales; Poaceae
Description: long non-coding RNA (HVUL_LNC016541)
Source: RNAcentral
AUCCUGACCCGCGCUUUCCUCCACCCCAUCGACACCCUCUCCUCCGCCGCCACCCACCCUUCCUUCGCCCCACGCCACCAACUCCUCCAUCAAGAUUGCUCUGUCUCGAUCCCCUUCCUCUGCCCAGGUAGCCCUGUUCCAGUCCCUGUCCUCCGCCCAGAUAGCCACAUCCCGGCCCAUUUUCGGCUAGGUCGCCCUGUAAUGUCCCUCUUCUCCGGCAAGGUCGCAAGGACACCCCGACGUCAAGGUUACAUGUCCCUCUCACCGCAGGUUGGCUUCUCCUCUGCCUCUCCUUCCCACUGCCUUUUGUUCCAUCUCAUCCACUGCGGUAUUUCGUCCAAUCCGUCCGCCUCUUGGUGUUUGCGCUGUAGAUCGAGCCCGCAGAAGCACGUUUGGCUGUCUCGGUUGACAAUAU